UUGAAUGGCCGCAGUAUUUUGACUGUGCGAAGGUAGCAUAAUCAAUAGUUUCUUAAUUAGAAGCUGGAAUGAAAGGUUGGACGAGAAAAUUACUGUCUCUUUAAUAAAUUUUAAAAUUUUAUUAUUAAGUUAAAAUGCUUAAAUAUUUUUAAAAGACGAGAAGACCCUAUAGAGUUUUAUAAUUUAUAAUAUUAUUUAUAAUUUAAAAUUUUAUAUUAAUAUUUUAAAUUAUUUGGUUGGGGUGAUUAAAAAAUUUUAUAAACUUUUUUAUAAUAAUUAACAUUAAUUUAUGAUUUAUUGAUCCAUUAUUUAUGAUUAAAAGAUUAAAUUACCUUAGGGAUAACAGCGUAAUUUUUUUUUAGAGUUCAAAUCGAUAAAAAAGUUUGCGACCUCGAUGUUGGAUUAAAAUUUAUAUUUGGUGUAGAGGCUAAAAUAAUUAGGUCUGUUCGACCUUUAAAAUUUUACAUGAUCUGAGUUUAAACCGGUGUAAGCCAGGUUGGUUUCUAUCUUUAAAUAAUAAUUAAUAUUUUAGUACGAAAGGACCAUAUAUUAUUAAUAAUUAAUUUUUCUAUGAAUAUUAUU
RNAcentral lists this ribosomal RNA (582 nucleotides) under Bamona sp. ZMUN 10029121. Its description in RNAcentral is "partial 16S ribosomal RNA". The stretch from base 339 to 498 matches the Rfam family "Bacterial large subunit ribosomal RNA", at positions 2473 to 2632 of the family's 2925-position model. Lineage: Eukaryota; Metazoa; Arthropoda; Insecta; Coleoptera; Staphylinidae. The record is from RNAcentral.